This 506-nucleotide ribosomal RNA is filed under the name uncultured bacterium. RNAcentral describes it as "partial 16S ribosomal RNA". It matches the Rfam family "Bacterial small subunit ribosomal RNA", at positions 29 to 523 of the family's 1533-position model. The record is from RNAcentral.
AGUGAACGCUGGCGGUAGGCCUAACACAUGCAAGUCGAACGGCAGCACAGGAGAGCUUGCUCUCUGGGUGGCGAGUGGCGGACGGGUGAGGAAUACAUCGGAAUCUACUUUUUCGUGGGGGAUAACGUAGGGAAACUUACGCUAAUACCGCAUACGACCUACGGGUGAAAGCAGGGGACCUUCGGGCCUUGCUCGAUUGAAUGAGCCGAUGUCGGAUUAGCGAGUUGGCGGGGUAAAGGCCCACCAAGGCGACGAUACGCAGCUGGUCUGAGAGGAUGAUCAGCCACACUGGAACUGAGACACGGUCCAGACUCCUACGGGAGGCAGCAGUGGGGAAUAUUGGACAAUGGGCGCAAGCCUGAUCCAGCCAUACCGCGUGGGUGAAGAAGGCCUUCGGGUUGUAAAGCCCUUUUGUUGGGAAAGAAAUCCAGCUGGCUAAUACCCGGUUGGGAUGACGGUACCCAAAGAAUAAGCACCGGCUAACUUCGUGCCAGCCGCCGCCGUAA